This 462-nucleotide ribosomal RNA is filed under the name uncultured bacterium. RNAcentral describes it as "bacterial SSU rRNA". It matches the Rfam family "Bacterial small subunit ribosomal RNA", at positions 338 to 795 of the family's 1533-position model. The record is from RNAcentral.
CCUANGGGUGGCUGCAGUCGAGAAUCUUCGGCAAUGGGCGAAAGCCUGACCGAGCGACGCCGCGUGCGGGAUGAAGGCCUUCGGGUUGUAAACCGCUGUCGUAGAGGAGGAAAUGCGAUGGGGUUCUCCCCAUUGUUUGACCUAUUCUAGGAGGAAGGACGGGCUAAGUUCGUGCCAGCAGCCGCGGUAAGACGAACCGUCCAAACGUUAUUCGGAAUUAUUGGGCUUAAAGGGUGCGUAGGCUGUGCAGUAAGUUGGGUGUGAAAUCCCUCGGCUCAACCGAGGAACUGCGCCGAAUACUGCUGUGCUAGAGGGAGAUAGGGGUAAGCGGAACUGAUGGUGGAGCGGUGAAAUGCGUUGAUAUCAUCAGGAACACCGGUGGCGAAGGCGGCUUACUGGAUCUCUUCUGACGCUGAUGCACGAAAGCUAGGGGAGCGAACGGGAUUAGAUACCCCGNUANUC